Molecule: ribosomal RNA, 445 nt
Filed under: uncultured bacterium
Lineage: Bacteria
Description: SSU rRNA
Rfam family: Bacterial small subunit ribosomal RNA
Source: RNAcentral
AGAACGAACGCUGGCGGCAUGCCUAACACAUGCAAGUCGAACGAGACCUUCGGGUCUAGUGGCGCACGGGUGCGUAACGCGUGGGAAUCUGCCCUUAGGUACGGAAUAACAGUGAGAAAUUACUGCUAAUACCGUAUGAUGUCUUCGGACCAAAGAUUUAUCGCCUAGGGAUGAGCCCGCGUUGGAUUAGCUAGUUGGUGGGGUAAAGGCCUACCAAGGCGACGAUCCAUAGCUGGUCUGAGAGGAUGAUCAGCCACACUGGGACUGAGACACGGCCCAGACUCCUACGGGAGGCAGCAGUGGGGAAUAUUGGACAAUGGGCGAAAGCCUGAUCCAGCAAUGCCGCGUGAGUGAAGAAGGCCUUAGGGUUGUAAAACUCUUUCGACGGGGACGAUAAUGACGGUACCGUAGAAGAAGCUCCGGCUAACUUCGCGCCAGCAGCCGC